CAUGAAAUAAAACUCCAAUAUACAUGGGGAUGAAUUACUCAUCAUCCAAAUCAGAGAUUCUGAACUUGUCCAGACCAAUUCUACCUGGGACAAGAUCGGUAGCAGUUUAGUUUAAAGGGGUGGUGUUUGAUGGGAGAUGUUCAUCCAGGACACACAAUCCAGCUGGCAAGCAGUCUUAUCAUCCAGGUGAUGUUCCAGGUAAUUUGAAGAUUCACAUUGCAGCUUUUUAGUUAUAUAAUGUC
This is a non-coding RNA of Pelobates cultripes (western spadefoot toad), 242 nucleotides long. The record is from the annotation of a GenBank genome assembly. NCBI's taxonomy places the organism in Eukaryota, Metazoa, Chordata, Amphibia, Anura, Pelobatidae.